RNAcentral lists this ribosomal RNA (433 nucleotides) under uncultured bacterium. RNAcentral describes it as "partial 16S ribosomal RNA". It matches the Rfam family "Bacterial small subunit ribosomal RNA", at positions 29 to 507 of the family's 1533-position model. The record is from RNAcentral.
AGCGAACGCUGGCGGCAGGCCUAACACAUGCAAGUCGAACGAACUCUUCGGAGUUAGUGGCGGACGGGUGAGUAACACGUGGGAACGUGCCUUUUGGUUCGGAAUAACUCAGGGAAACUUGUGCUAAUACCGAAUGUGCCCUUCGGGGGAAAGAUUUAGCGCCAUUAGUGCGGCCCUCGUCUGAUUAGCUAGUUGGUGAGGUAACGGCUCACCAAGGCGACGAUCAGUAGCUGGUCUGAGAGGAUGACCAGCCACACUGGGACUGAGACACGGCCCAGACUCCUACGGGAGGCAGCAGUGGGGAAUCUUGCGCAAUGGGCGAAAGCCUGACGCAGCCAUGCCGCGUGAAUGAUGAAGGUCCUAGGAUUGUAAAAUUCUUUCACCGGGGGCGAUAAUGACGGUACCCGGAGAAGAAGCCCCGGCUAACUUCGUG